This 750-nucleotide long non-coding RNA is filed under the name Daucus carota (carrot). Its description in RNAcentral is "long non-coding RNA (DCAR_LNC006974)". Lineage: Eukaryota; Viridiplantae; Streptophyta; Magnoliopsida; Apiales; Apiaceae. The record is from RNAcentral.
CCAUAGAUAUAUGCACAGAUUUCUCCGCAGUUUCCUCCGCAGACUCUUAUAGCUUCUCCUCCUCAUACUCUCUUUAAUCGUAAAUCCAUGCUCAUGUAAAUGAAUUAGCAUAUAAGAUGAUUAUAUGAUCACCGAUACUCUUAUCAAAUUAGGGGUUUUUGCUUCAAAUUAGGGGUUUCCAAUUUAAUUGUCCCAGUCUGUCAAUCGACGAAAACUUCCGAUGAGGACUACAAAGGUGCGUCUAAAAGGUACGACAGAUCAUUAUAGAGUUUCGAACUCUUUUAUAAAUUGUCUGAAUUGCAGCUGUUAAGCCAUAGAUGUUUUCCUUAUAUUAUGGGUUUCAAUGUGUUAAUAUAGUAAUUGUAUAUCGCAAGCAGUGUUAAGGACAAACAAUUAUUCGUUUUUUAUUAAGUUUCUGUAUGUAGUCUGAUUUACAGCUUUAUGAGUGUAAAAUUAUCCAGAUACAGUUGGCAGAGCAUAUAGGAGAUUAUAAAGAAAUCAUGUGAGAAACUUCAGCCUCAUCGGAACCACUAAUAUUUGAAAAAGUAAAGAUAACACAAAUACUACAUUACCCUAUCUUUUCAAACAAGUCUGAAUUUUUUUUGGGUUUUAGUGGAAAUGUGAACUAGUGCAUAGACAAGGGAGACGCAUCCAAGUAUGCAACACACUAAUCCUCGUCAUCAACUUCUCUGGACGCACCAAUUACCUCAUUCUGCUUGCUUGCUCGGCUCCUUUCGUCUUCCGACCGGA